Small nuclear RNA from Camelus dromedarius (Arabian camel), 107 nucleotides. NCBI's taxonomy places the organism in Eukaryota, Metazoa, Chordata, Mammalia, Artiodactyla, Camelidae. The record is from Ensembl.
GUGCUCACUUGGGCAGCACAUAUACUAAUAUUAGAGCAAUGCAGAGAAGAUUAACGUGGCCCCUGCCCAAGGAUGACAUACAAAUUCAUUAAGUGUUUUACAUUUUG